GGAAUUCAUAGAAAGGUAAUUGUUAGCAGUAAGGCUUUGACAGUGAAGUUGACUGUAUAAAGUUCUGGUAUAUAUUGGCUGCGGAAUGCUCCAAAGAGUAAUAUUGUUGUGUGGAUGUUUUUUAUGAUUAUAUUAUGAUAAUAUUGGCAUAUUCUGCUAGGAAAAAUAGGGCAAAGGGGUCUGCUGUACAUUCAACGUUGAAUCCAGAAACGAAUUCUGAUUCUCCUUCUGUUAGGAUGGGUAGAGCACACUU
This is a long non-coding RNA of Leopardus geoffroyi (Geoffroy's cat), 253 nucleotides long. RefSeq lists it as uncharacterized. The transcript has 3 exons. Lineage: Eukaryota; Metazoa; Chordata; Mammalia; Carnivora; Felidae. The record is from RefSeq and is a predicted model, not a curated record.